Molecule: microRNA precursor, 664 nt
Filed under: Triticum aestivum (bread wheat)
Lineage: Eukaryota; Viridiplantae; Streptophyta; Magnoliopsida; Poales; Poaceae
Description: TaIPS1.3
Source: RNAcentral
CCAAUCCGGCGUCCUGCACGCACACCAUGUAGGCCACAAGAUCUCAGAUAGCUUAUGUCAUUGGUGGUGGCAUAAGCUACCAGUACCAGCUGCAUGCCUGUGCUCUUCUUCGCUUGGAGUGUGCCCUCGGCCAUGGCCCGUGGGCGCGUACGCAGCAACCCAGGGCAUGGAUCCGGCGUUGGCUAGCUACCUCUGGCCUGCAUCAAGCUGCAGCUGGCUAGGCUGCUUGGUUUCUUGAGGAAGCUCGGGGUGAAACUGCCAUGGCUGGCCGGCAGGGGCGGCCUCGUCCACGGCGGCGGCGGCGACUUCUCACCUCUACUAAGGUAGGGCAACUUCUAUCCUUUGGCAAUUGUGACUUCUCGAUCGGUGGUUGGGCGUGAUGAUCUCUCUCCUCCGAGUAGAGCACCGGUGGAGAUCAUAGCACGGUGCACGUGUGUGCGUAUCCUCUGUAUCGUCGUGUAACUACUAGCUAGCUAUACCAAGUUGAUAUGAAGCUAGUGUGGUUGUAUGUGUGAUCCUGCUUGAGUCUUUUGGUUCUGUGAUCUGUGGGCAGUAUAUGUGUUGAGUUUUGUACGUAUCUGGUAAGACUAGUGCCAUCAGUCGAUAAAUAUAAAUUUGACGUUUGCACACAGUAAAAAAAAAAAAAAAAAAAAAAAAAAAAAAA